Molecule: ribosomal RNA, 468 nt
Filed under: uncultured bacterium
Lineage: Bacteria
Description: partial 16S ribosomal RNA
Rfam family: Bacterial small subunit ribosomal RNA
Source: RNAcentral
GACGAACGCUGGCGGCGUGCUUAACACAUGCAAGUCGAACGGAAAGGCCCUGCUUUUGUGGGGUGCUCGAGUGGCGAACGGGUGAGUAACACGUGAGUAACCUGCCCUUGACUUUGGGAUAACUUCAGGAAACUGGGGCUAAUACCGGAUAGGAGCUCCUGCUGCAUGGUGGGGGUUGGAAAGUUUCGGCGGUUGGGGAUGGACUCGCGGCUUAUCAGCUUGUUGGGGGGGGAGUGGCUUACCAAGGCUUUGACGGGUAGCCGGCCUGGGAGGGUGACCGGCCACAUUGGGACUGAGAUACGGCCCAGACUCCUACGGGAGGCAGCAGUGGGGAAUAUUGCACAAUGGGCGGAAGCCUGAUGCAGCAACGCCGCGUGCGGGAUGACGGCCUUCGGGUUGUAAACCGCUUUCGCCUGUGACGAAGCGUGAGUGACGGUAAUGGGUAAAGAAGCACCGGCUAACUACGUG